RNAcentral lists this ribosomal RNA (1445 nucleotides) under uncultured marine bacterium. RNAcentral describes it as "16S ribosomal RNA". It matches the Rfam family "Bacterial small subunit ribosomal RNA". The record is from RNAcentral.
GAGUUUGAUCAUGGCUCAGAACGUACGCUGGCGGCACGCCUAACACAUGCAAGUCGAACGAAGUAGCAAUACUUAGUGGCAGACGGGUGAGUAACAUGUGGGUAUCUACCCUUUGGCCUGGAAUAACACGAGGAAACUUGUGCUAAUACCGGAUAAGUCUUUACGGAGAAAGCUUUAUGCACCAUUGGAUGAGCCCGCACUUGAUUAGUUUGUUGGUAGGGUAAUGGCCUACCAAGACUAUGAUCAAUAGCUGAUUUGAGAGGAUGAUCAGCCACAUUGGGACUGAGACACGGCCCAAACUCCUACGGGAGGCAGCAGUGGGGAAUCUUGCACAAUGGAGGAAACUCUGAUGCAGCGAUGCCGCGUGAGUGAAGAAGGCCUUUGGGUUGUAAAGCUCUUUCGUCGGGGAAGAAAAUGACUGUACCCGAAUAAGAAGGUCCGGCUAACUUCGUGCCAGCAGCCGCGGUAAUACGAAGGGACCUAGCGUAGUUCGGAAUUACUGGGCUUAAAGAGUUCGUAGGUGGUUGAAAAAGUUGGUGGUGAAAUCCCAGAGCUUAACUCUGGAACUGCCAUCAAAACUUUUCAGCUAGAGUAUGAUAGAGGAAAGCAGAAUUUCUAGUGUAGAGGUGAAAUUCGUAGAUAUUAGAAAGAAUACCAAUUGCGAAGGCAGCUUUCUGGAUCAUUACUGACACUGAGGAACGAAAGCAUGGGUAGCGAAGAGGAUUAGAUACCCUCGUAGUCCAUGCCGUAAACGAUGACAACUAGCUGUUGGGAGACUAUGUCUUUCAGUGGCGCAGCUAACGCUUUAAGUUGUCCGCCUGGGGAGUACGGCCGCAAGGCUAAAACUCAAAUGAAUUGACGGGGACCCGCACAAGCGGUGGAGCAUGUGGUUUAAUUCGAUGCAACGCGAAAAACCUUACCUACUCUUGACAUACUUGGAGGCUCUUGUAAUGAGAGUGUGCCUUUUGGAACCAAGAUACAGGUGCUGCAUGGCUGUCGUCAGCUCGUGUCGUGAGAUGUUCCGUUAAGUCGGAUAACGAGCGCAACCCUUACCCUUAUUUGCCAGCGAUUCGGUCGGGAACUAUAAGGGGACUGCCGGUGAUAAACCGGAGGAAGGUGAGGACGACGUCAAGUCAUCAUGGCCCUUACGAGUAGGGCUACACACGUGCUACAAUGGGAGAUACAGACGGACGCUAAGCCGCGAGGUGGUGCUAAUCCUAAAAAGUCUUUCGUAGUCCGGAUUGGAGUCUGCAACUCGACUCCAUGAAGUCGGAAUCGCUAGUAAUCGCGGAUCAGCAUGCCGCGGUGAAUACGUUCUCGGGUCUUGUACACACCGCCCGUCACACCAUGGAAGUGGAUUGCACCAGAAGUAGAUAGUCUAACCUUAGGGAGGGCGUUUACCACGGUGUGCUUCAUGACUGGGGUGAAGUCGUAACAAGGUAACC